UUGUUGUUUUUUUUUACCAAUGUUAUAUCUCUGAUCAUAAGCACAUCAUGUUAAAAAAAAAUUAAGAAUGUUCAAAAAUGUCAAUGCUUUCACAAAGGAUAUAUUUUUAAUUUGGAUUUUAAAUAGUGAGGUUAAUUGAGUUUGUAGGUCAGAUUUUGUAUUUGUGUUUACCACUAGAGGGAGUUGGCGAACCACUGGAGAUUGUUGCACAACAAUUUAAUAGCCCUCAACAAGAUAUUUAAGACACAUAACCACACAGUUCUAAUGUUGAGCAUCUUUGGGAAAUUAUCAGUGCAGUAGUUGAGGCCAGCUACAUUAUUUUGUGUUUUUGGAGAAACUCCACUUAGUGGUCAGGUAGAUGAACAGUCAAGAAGUAAUGAUAGGGGAGAAAACAACUGAAUAGAUCACAGGGUAAAUAUAUAGGCUAUGCAUCAGAGGCAGUACCCAAAAAUUGUACCCAAGAGUUGCAUUGCUUUAACAUAUUUUUAUUCAAGUAAAAGUAAAAAAUAGUUGAAGAAAUUACUUGAGUAAAAGGGUACAGUACCAACUGCAUAAUCUGAAUAAAUAUUUGAAAUAAUGUAAUCAGACAGAAUUUGAAAGUUAUGUUCAAAUUCUAGCAUUUUAAACAGUAAAAUGAAAACAAUCAUACACAAAUAUAAUUAUAAAAUAAAUUCAGGCAGAAGAAACAUUACAAAAUAAUUUUUUAUAUAAAAUUUAUAAAACUAAUAUUCACAGUAGGUUUUAUAUAGCCCAUUUGUGUGUGUGUAUUUUAGCCCUUGGUAAAGUUUUUCCACUGACAAUGUUUACUAUUUACCUUUAUUUGCCCCCCAAGUGGCAGAACAGGCCCAGAAGAUAAACAUUGGAACAACAAAGCUGGCAAAUAAACAAGAAAUCUCACUUUAAUAUAUGUUUCAUCCAUUUUGGCUGUUCUUUAUGCAUACAAUUGAUUCUUCAUAAUUUUAAAUUGAGAAGUUGUUUAUUCCAGUAAUUUCAUCCUAAAAGUUAAACUCCUAUAUUGAUCCACAGCAAGUGUUUAUUUCUGAUCAUUUUGAUUAUUAUUUUUUCUUCAUUUUGACUGAAUAUGAAGAAUAAAGUCAAUAUAAGUUGGUCCAACUUUUUCCCAUCCAGAUGAGAAAUGCCUAGGUAACAAACAACUAAUUUGUAAUAUCAAAUUCUGGUUAACUUUAUGACGAUUAAAAGCUCAUGGCAUCAGUCUUGAAGAAACAGAGUCAUAGAAAGCAAAUUACAAAAAAAUUGUAGCACAACAUACCCUAGUUAUCCCCCUGAAAUAAGAGAGAAAUAAGGCUCCUGUUUUUUGCAUUGAAGGGGCGUGGCUUCGUAACAAUCAAGGCUUUGACUCUGCACAGGUGAACUCCUCACAGGGCACAGCUCGAGUUCUCAGGAACACUCGUGCAAGUCAGUCUGAGGCCAAGGAGGUUUUUUUGUUUGUUUUUUUUCCCAUGUUGGAUUUUACAGAAACGUAAUUAAGUUUUCUCUACUUUGUUGAUGAGCUCCUAGAUUCUUCUGUUUACCUGAGAUGACGUGGUUGGAAGGGAUUCAGAAAUUGAGGCCAGUGCUUAUGUCUGUUUUGUUUAUCCUAACAUCUCAAGGUGCUAACUGCCGACUGGUGGUGUCUCCUGUUGGUCCCACCCUGGUGAAUGCUUUAGCUGGUACCAACGUGACUCUGGCUGUGUCCUAUAGUGGUGCCUCUGAUCCAGUGGUUACCUGGUUUAAGGGAACUCUGCCUGUGGGGACAUGGACUAUAAACACCAACUUUCCUCCAGACAUAGCCAAUGACAGCCGGAGUGUGCUCGAAAUUGAAAAGGAUGGAUCUCUUACCUUUAAAGAUGUGCCACAGCACUUUACUGGAAGUUAUACUGUUGAACUAACAAAGUCUGGACACGGAACAGUUUCAGUGACAUUCACUCUAAAUAUUUAUGAAAUGAUCCAGAAUGUGACUUUGAUCACAGCACCUUAUUUUGCCCAAGAGGGAGCUGAGCGGUUCACAUUACAAUAUAACAUGCUUCAAGGUGUUGUUGAACAAGAAAUAUGGCGCUUCAAUGGAAGAGACCUGCAAAACAGCACACACUAUUUGAUGGAGGGAACCAGCCUUGUAAUUUUUGGACCUAACCGGACAGACAAGGGAUCAUACUCUGUGACAUUGAUGAACCCCUUCAGCAGCAUGACCAUGCAUAAGAAUGUGACUGUUCUUUACGGGCCGGAUGAGCCCAUUGUGGAGGCACUGCCAAUUCAACCUUUCUACAAGGCAGGGGACUCUCUGAUUUUGACCUGCCGAGCUGAAGGAUUCCCACUGUCAAUUCCUCAGUGGAUCUUUGGGGGUCAAAUUCUUUCAGAUUUUCACCAAGGAAUCCUAAAUCUGACAAACGUGCAGACCAGUCAAGGAGGCUCUUACACGUGCUCUGUGCUCAAUGACAUGACUAAGGAGAAGCGUGAGAAGAAUGUGACUUUAAAGGUCUACGACAGGCCGCUGGGUAGUCCAAUAUGCUCUGUGGUGUCUGUGAACAAUUCUGACCUGCAGUAUCAGUGCAAGUGGGCAGGAGGAAUGCCAGAGGCCCAGUUGACUUUCCCAGCACUAAGUAAUAUAAGCAGUGGAGCUGGAACCUUCAGCCUCACUGUUACUUCCUCCGCUAACCUCCGUGACAUAACUAUCACUUGCUUAGCAGAGCAUCCAAUUGAACAAAACACCUGCAACAUUACCGCAAAAAGUCCCAGAAAUUUUCUUCCAACUGUGAAAACCUCUGUUGAUUCAGAUGGAAAAAUUGCAGUAACCAUCCGCUGUGUCAGUGAGGCAUCCCCUCAGGCUGUGGUUUCAUGGUCGCAGGGAAAUGAGUCUGUCAUCACUGGGUCAACGUACCAGAUCAGCAGUGACACUACACAGCUGAAGAUUCGCAGUUACAAUAUCAGCACUUUCCUGCUUGCGCCAAACUAUACCUGUACAUGUCGCAAUCCACUGGGCAAUCAGAGAAAGCUGCUUCAGCUGCAAGGACCGACUAUCUCAGAUUCCAGUUUGUUCCCUAAUCAAGAUGGAACCAUCAUCACAUUAACCUGGGAAGUCCCACCUACAUCUGUGGUUACAGGUUUUGACAUCCAAAUGAAAGGACCUGAUCUUCUGAGCCAUGGUGGUGAUUAUUCUGUUCCUAAGAGAAGUUCAAAAGAAUACCGCAUCAUUCAGCAGAAACCUGGGUAUGCUAGGAGUGCAGAUGUCUUUUUGCUUGAUCCUGACAUGACAUACAGGUUUCGAAUCAUUCCCAAAGCUCGGCUAACAGAUGGAGAGCCAUCUGAGGUUCACAGAAUUGGCCCAGGUGAUGGUUUGAGUGGGUCUGCCAUUGCUGGCAUUGCAGCUGGAAUCCCAUGCAGCAUUCUCACCCUGACCCUAUUAAUUGGCCUUAUUUUCCUAAUUUUCUACCACCACAAGAAAAAAAGUAAGCAACAAGACAAGAUAUCCAGUCUCCAGAGCAGUGAAAACCAUCCAGCCUAAGGCAGUUUUGAAUGGAGGGCUUAGGCCUCCUCCUGACUACAACAGUUUGCACCAGACUCCGUCUGAAAGAUCUGUGACGCUACCCAUGUUUGUCCCACCUGCCCCAGUCAGAGUUGCAACAACAGUUUAAAUGAGUAAAUCGAUGUGUAUAUUUUUGCAAAACUAACUUUUAUUUAUAUAUAUAUACACAAUAUAUUACUGAAAAGUUUUAUAUAUUUAAUUUUAACUGUAAUAACUAUUGAUAUAAUAAAAACAUUCCUUAGACUUCAGUGCGUGUGUUGGCUAAUAAUGUAAUACCAUAUAGUCAGUUUUUCUAUUCACGUAGUAAUUAAAUUUUUUUUGCAGAUAUUUAAUGCAGAAUUAGACGUUCAAGAAGGUAAAGAGCUGUAAAAGUGGCCAAUUAUUUAAGAAAGAAGAACGUUUUUUCUGUCAAAACAUCAGAUGAUGGAAAAAAUAACAUUUUAUUGUUGUCCAGAAACUCUGGAGACAGUUCAUCCUCUGGUCAAAAUAAAUAAGGACUAAUGUUUUGCUUUUUUAAUUUGUUUUAUUUUUAAAUGUCUUGGGUUGCACUGAAAAAUCUACAUUUGUUGCAUUUACUGUAAAGAAAAUUUUUCUCCUGAAAUAAUUUGACAUAAAUGUAAAUCCAGGCUAUUGUUUUUUAAAGUGCUUGAAAAUACAUUUAAAGGUAAACGGAAAAUCAGAUAUUAUUUUACUAAUUUGUAAGUUUUUGUGCUGAAGUUGAAUAAUCUGUUAAUCUUUGACCAAAUUAUAUCAAUCAGGAAUGGAGGGCCUCAAAAUUCAUCUUGCUUGCAGAAGCAUACAUUGCUGCUGAUGUUUCAUACAUUUGCGCAGCAGGUGGUGCUGUGGAGUAAUGAAUUACAUGAAUUCAUCUGAAUGUCCAGUCAGUUAGAACUGAUGAUACCUUCAACAAAC
RNA transcript from Xiphophorus hellerii (green swordtail), 4432 nucleotides. It is a transcript of the gene named V-set and immunoglobulin domain containing 10 like, with no coding region annotated. Lineage: Eukaryota; Metazoa; Chordata; Actinopteri; Cyprinodontiformes; Poeciliidae. The transcript has 12 exons. The record is from RefSeq and is a predicted model, not a curated record.